GUCUACAGCCAUGCUACCUUGAAUAAGCCUGAUCCCAUCUGAUCUCGGAAGCUAAGCAGGGUCGGGCCUGGUUAGUACUGGGAUGGAAGACCACCUUGGAAGACCACCUAGAAGACCAAGUGCUGUAGGAG
RNAcentral lists this ribosomal RNA (131 nucleotides) under Pteropus vampyrus (large flying fox). Lineage: Eukaryota; Metazoa; Chordata; Mammalia; Chiroptera; Pteropodidae. The record is from RNAcentral.